CAGCCGCCGCGGUAAUACGAAGGGUGCAAGCGUUAAUCGGAAUUACUGGGCGUAAAGCGUGCGUAGGCGGUUUAUACAGUCAGAUGUGAAAUUCCUGGGCUCAACCUGGGGACUGCAUCUGAUACGUAUGGACUUGAGUGGAGAAGAGGGUUGUGGAAUUUCCAGUGUAGAGGUGAAAUUCGUAGAUAUUGGAAAGAACACCGGUGGCGAAGGCGGCAACCUGGUCUUUAACUGACGCUGAGGCGCGAAAGCGUGGGGAGCAAACAGGAUUAGAUACCCCCGUAGUCCCUGUCUCUUAUAC
Molecule: ribosomal RNA, 301 nt
Filed under: uncultured bacterium
Lineage: Bacteria
Description: partial 16S ribosomal RNA
Rfam family: Bacterial small subunit ribosomal RNA
Source: RNAcentral